AUUGAACGCUGGCGGCAUGCCUAACACAUGCAAGUCGAACGGCAGCACAGAUAUAGUUUACUAUAUUGGGUGGCGAGUGGCGGACGGGUGAGUAACGCGUGGGUAUAUAACCUAAAGACGGGGACAACUUGCGGAAACGCGAGCUAAUACCGGAUAAGCUCUGAGGAGAAAAGCUGGGGAUCUGGCGACAGACCUGGCGCUUUAGGAGUAACCUGCGUCCAAUUAGCUAGUUGGUAGGGUAAAGGCCUACCAAGGCGACGAUUGGUAGCUGGUCUGAGAGGACGGACAGCCACACUGGGACUGAGACACGGCCCAGACUCCUACGGGAGGCAGCAGUGGGGAAUAUUGGACAAUGGGGGGAACCCUGAUCUAGCAAUGCCGCGUGUGUGAAGAAGGCCUGCGGGUUGUAAAGCACUUUAGUUAGGGAGGAGUGUUUGAAGGUUAAGAGCUAUCAAGCAGGACGUUACCUAAAGAAUAAGCACCGGCUAACUCCGUGCCAGCAG
This 503-nucleotide ribosomal RNA is filed under the name uncultured bacterium. RNAcentral's name for it is "bacterial SSU rRNA". It matches the Rfam family "Bacterial small subunit ribosomal RNA", at positions 30 to 514 of the family's 1533-position model. The record is from RNAcentral.